Molecule: long non-coding RNA, 1960 nt
Organism: Herpailurus yagouaroundi (jaguarundi)
Lineage: Eukaryota; Metazoa; Chordata; Mammalia; Carnivora; Felidae
Exons: 3
Source: RefSeq, a predicted model, not a curated record
CCUGAGACCCCCACCCUGGCUGGCCAGCCAGACCACGGUGGUCAGGACUGUCCUGGUGGGCACGUGCUUGUUACACCUGUCCAACGGGGACCUGCCCGGGGCUACGUCGUUGCUGGAGCCCUGGGGACACCAGGCCAGGUGUGGACGGCUGCGGCAGAUGAAAGGCUGGGCCUCCCUGCCUCCCACUUGGGCCCACCCCGUUCCAGAAUCCCUGAACUGCGAACACAAGGAUGGGCUUUGCCUUGGAGUCACAUCUAUAAAGAUUUUUGGGAAAAAACCCAGCACGUUUAUUGGCAAAUUCCCACCAUUCAGGGAAGGCGGGUUGGCACGGGACGUGGCUGGAAAAUGACACGUUUGUGAAAUGUCUCCCAUAUGAGACCCUGCUGUCCAGGAACACUGCAUCUUCUGGGAAGGCCCAAAGCCAACGUAGCCGGAUGGUGUUCUUCUCUGCCCUUUGUCACGUCUGGAUUGCUUGUGUGGGGUGACCAGCCGGCCCAGACACGUCCCCAGUGAUGGUCAAGAAAUCGGGUUUCCAGUUCCUUGGGACCUGGGCGCUGCUCCCUACGGCUUCCCGUCCCUCCCCCAGAAGUGAGCACAGAUCGCAGACCACGGAGGACACGGGGAGAACGUGCCAUCCACUUGCCCAGCAGAGGCCCCGCAGGGAGGCCUGCAUCUCGGGCUUCAGCCCCUGGGACGGUGAGGAGUAAACUCACGUUUCUAGAGCCUCCUGGUUUGUGGUAUUUUUUUCGCGGCCCCUGAAGACUCAGUCAGGGGCUGGGUGGGGGGCAGGGCAGGCCCGCCUCACCUCUGCCUUGCAGGGUCCCUGGGGACAAGCCACCACUUCUCUGGUUUUCCUCCUUCGGCCCGACGACGGGACAAGUGCCCCGGGAAAGACCCGUAGCUGGUCUCUUCAAGAGCAGUGGGGUCCCGUCCAGUGGUCUGGAGGCCCCGUCACUGGCUGGCCCCUGCCCCUCCGUGGCCCGUGACUUCAUGGGACACGUACCGAGCCACACAGGUCCUCUGCCCUCGUCUUACAGGCACACUGGGUCGGCUCUCGGGUGCCAAUCUGCCUUCAGGAGACUCUGCACCAGGGGACCCGGAGCUCUCAUGGAGGGAACACUCCCACCCCAGCUGGCCGGCCGCGAGGGACGGUGCCCGAGCCACCAGCAGCCGGGCAUCCACCGUGGCUCCAGAUCCGCCCACUUGUGGCCCAGAGACAGGGUUUACAAAGAGUUGCUAGAGAGGAGGUCUGUGCCUCUGCAUCCCAAAACCCAAACGGUCACAGCCGCCGGCCUGCAGGGUUUUAGUGUCUUCUGGGUGGAUCAGGGCUCUGGUGGGGAGGCGUCAGCCUCUCUUUAGAGACCUCUGAGGACCUCGUUUACUGUCGCCUGGGUCUGGGCAGGUGUGACUUGGAAAUUCGCAAGGACCUUCCUGAGGAUGUGCGCACGUGGAGACUGACCAGCCAAUUCCCAGACCCUUGGUCUUUCCUGAAGCUGAUCUACCCGGGAGGGUUGGUGAAGGGAUAAAGGGUUUCCGUCCUUCUCUUUUACAAACUCUGUCCUCCCACUUCGCUCCCAACCUCUUAUCUGUCCCAAGUGCGGGCGCCCCGGGGUCUCGUGUGCAUCUGGGAAGGGGCGUGACGCGACAGCUGGGAGGCUCCUCCCUUCGUGUGUCAAGGAUUUGAAGUGUUUGCUUUCAACUCAGGAGAAAAAGAACUAACUGGGAUUUCUCCGGAAGGGCCCAUGGGUGAAGGAUUCCCUUCAUUCUUGUGUGUGGAGACGUGUUUUCCUGUGGCCUUGAUACUCAAGGGACCGCUUGGCUGGACAUAAAUUCUCACCUGUGCUCCCGCCCCCUCGGUUUUGGAGAAAUUCGACUCUGUGGUUGUCUCGUUUAGUCUGGCCAUGGUUGAAAGGCUUAAUCUAAUUCUUUGCCUUUUUAAUUUCUUUUGUUAAAAACAUGU